ACACGAAAGAUAAUCGCUGCAUUUAAUGUGUAGAGGAAAGUCCAUGCUCGCACCACCUGUGAUGGUGGUAGUGUUUGUGUUCGACAAAAAAAUAAGUCGAAGCAUAGAGGCAUCUAUGACGGCAGACCAAAUCCCUAAGGGAAACUAUGGGAGGCGGCUUGAAAGUGCCACAGUGACGAAGUCCCUUUCGAAAGACUGGGAGUGGAACGAGGUAAACCCCAUAAGCGAGAAACCCAAAUUUGGUAGGGGAACUGGCACUAUCGAAUCAAAGAGAUGUGCCGGACGUCUAUGACGUAGAUAAAUGAUUAUCGCAACAGAACAUGGCUUAUUG
Molecule: RNase P RNA, 331 nt
Filed under: Erysipelothrix sp. HDW6C
Lineage: Bacteria; Bacillati; Bacillota; Erysipelotrichia; Erysipelotrichales; Erysipelotrichaceae
Description: Bacterial RNase P class B
Rfam family: Bacterial RNase P class B
About the family: Ribonuclease P (RNase P) is a ubiquitous endoribonuclease, found in archaea, bacteria and eukarya as well as chloroplasts and mitochondria.
Source: Rfam by way of RNAcentral